GUAGGUGAACCUGCGGAGGGAUCAUUAGCAUGACCCAUGAGACCGUGGGGGGCAGAGUGAGGCAGUGUGACGCUUGGGCAGUAGGGAGUGAAUCCCCCUGCUCUCCUCAGCGGACUCGGUCUCCUCUCCUCUACGUGCUCGACCCACACACCCUUGAACCUCUCUGUAUCACCACCCCUCACCUCUCCCCCUUCUUUUGUCCCCAUUAACUGUCCCUUGUAGAAUCUAGAUAUCACUCCUAGCAAUGGAUCUCUAGACUUCC
RNAcentral lists this unclassified non-coding RNA (262 nucleotides) under rhizosphere metagenome. Its description in RNAcentral is "partial ribosomal RNA internal transcribed spacer region". The record is from RNAcentral.